Molecule: long non-coding RNA, 278 nt
Filed under: Capsicum annuum
Lineage: Eukaryota; Viridiplantae; Streptophyta; Magnoliopsida; Solanales; Solanaceae
Description: long non-coding RNA (CANN_LNC007149)
Source: RNAcentral
GCAAGGUAACAUCAACAUGCCAAAAUAAUUUCAUUAUUUAGGGAAAUUCAUUGCCCCCUUGGUUCAAUUAUAGAUUAGCUUGGGGAAUUAUGCAACCCCAUAAGGUUCAAUUCAAAAUCAUUAUGCUUUAUUGACCUUUUCACAUUAUGCAAUAGUUCAAGAGUAGUUUAAUAUGCAUACUCUUCAUAUUCAAAACCAAUUUCACAAUAUGGGGUUGGGGUCAUUACCACUCAAAAGUCUUAAGUUGGGGGAAAUCACUAUCCCUCAUUUGUUCACCA